This is a long non-coding RNA of Psammomys obesus (fat sand rat), 524 nucleotides long. RefSeq lists it as uncharacterized. The record is from RefSeq and is a predicted model, not a curated record. Lineage: Eukaryota; Metazoa; Chordata; Mammalia; Rodentia; Muridae. The transcript is spliced from 4 exons.
CAGAGCUGGGCCGAUGCACAACCGCGGAGGGAGGCUGGUCCCCUCAACAAUUGCCAAGAAUCCUCCGGACAAUAUUGCCGAGACAAUACUGUGUAGGGUUCUGAUGCCCUGUCCUUGACAUCAAAAGUGUGGCUUGGUGUGGCUGCCGUGGAGGAGGUCUUUGAUCACCCACUGCUACCGCAAGACCCCUGGACGGCAUUAAAAGAAACAGAAGUGCAUCUUGACCCAUGCCUCAAUGUGUGCAAAGUGGGAAAUCUGAGCAACAGGGCUGUUUGGAAGCUAGGGAGAGAAGGAACCUAUGAGCAUCUUAGCUUUAAGCAUCAGUGGACACCAUUUUAUCUUCGGAACCAGCAUGUGAAUCUCAUGAAGAAAUGUACUAAAGAGAAGCAAACGUGAUUUCCUGUGUUCAAGGGCUCACAUGAUACUGACACAUUUGUACUCACAAUUCAUGCUGUGAGGCUUUCUGCUUACUAGUUGCCUUAAGUUCACUCUCCUCAGUUUUCUCCUGUCCUGAAGGCUGUUGC